GCAGACACACUCCAGCCAAUCAGCAGCAGACCCUCCCUCCCAGACCCUCCCACCUCUUGGACAGCAUCCAUUUUACAUUCAUUGUGAAGCUGCAUUCUUAGUGAGCUGUCCAGGAGGUGGGAGGGUAUGGGAGGGAGGGUCUGCUGCUGAUUGGCUGGAAUGUGUCUG
RNAcentral lists this microRNA precursor (168 nucleotides) under Pelobates cultripes (western spadefoot toad). Lineage: Eukaryota; Metazoa; Chordata; Amphibia; Anura; Pelobatidae. The record is from RNAcentral.